Molecule: unclassified non-coding RNA, 351 nt
Filed under: soil metagenome
Description: partial contains 5.8S ribosomal RNA, internal transcribed spacer 2, and large subunit ribosomal RNA
Rfam family: 5.8S ribosomal RNA (bases 1-120)
Source: RNAcentral
GAUGAAGAACGCAGCGAAAUGCGAUAAGUAAUGUGAAUUGCAGAAUUCAGUGAAUCAUCGAAUCUUUGAACGCACAUUGCGCCCGCCAGUAUUCUGGCGGGCAUGCCUGUUCGAGCGUCAUUACAACCCUCAGGCCCCCGGGCCUGGCGUUGGGGAUCGGCGGAGCCCCCCGUGGGCACACGCCGUCCCCCAAAUACAGUGGCGGUCCCGCCGCAGCUUCCAUUGCGUAGUAGCUAACACCUCGCAACUGGAGAGCGGCGCGGCCACGCCGUAAAACACCCAACUUCUGAAUGUUGACCUCGAAUCAGGUAGGAAUACCCGCUGAACUUAAGCAUAUCAAUAAGCGGAGGA